CAACCCAUCUAUAAAUUGUGCAAAACUUUUUACUUAAAAAAAAUCUCCCUCUCGCCAACAGGGGGUGCUGCAGCACCCGCAGCACCCCCACUUCCCGCGGCCAUGAUCCUUGGUGCAAAAUAGAAAUUAAAAUGUAAUACUUUAAUUUACAUUUUCCAUUUUCUACAGCCCUGUUUUAAAUACAUAUUUUAGUGCUUUAGAAGUUGCAAAAUUAAAAUGGAAAUGUAUUACCCGAACUGAUAUAAUGUGAUUCACAUUGUCAAGCAAAAACUGUAGCAAAAUUAUCAUUUAAAUGUAAAUUUCCCUAAAUGCAUUUACAUUUACGGGUGGGAAACUUGGGAUUGCAUUUUCAUUUACAUAGCGCGCAAGGGAUGUAGCAAAAUUCAAUUGAAAAUGCAUUCCGAGUUGACCACGCCCCCGCCCUGUGAAUCACUGCGUCAAGGCGGGUCCAACAACUCCCAUAGCCUGGCCUCUCACGUGGGAAACAUGGCGGCAGCAGGGCUGAUUGAGAGUGUUAUAUUCGCUGACCAAAGCAUAAACAGAGAAAUAUUAGUAUUUAUGGAGAUUAUUACGUGUCUGUAGGUAGGGAUGUCCGAGUCAUUUGAUUUUGAGUAUCUGCCGAUACCGAGUCCCGAUCCGAUACUUCUAUAAUACAUAAAAAAGAAUAAAUAAGAGCGAAAAAACAGAACCAGGAUGUUCCUUAUGUCAUGCCGCACGCGUUGCUGUUUCUGUGUGGAGUCAAAAGAGUCUAACUCUGUGCCAGCGCAUAACUAUAGAUGUCACAGGUGAUGGUUUGAACCAACGACGGGCGGAACCCGUCUUCCACAUCCUUGGUUGAACCGACGACGGGCGGAACCCGUCUUCCACAUUUCAUUUCCGGGGUUUCCCCGAAGUCAAAAUUAAGCCUGAUUGCGCGCAGGUGGGGAUAAUUUGCACAGCGGUCGCUGAUAGGCUGACGAGGAGAAGAGUCAGUGCAUAAAAAGACCUUUGGAGACAUCAAACGGGGUGCUUGUGGUGUACUUUGUAUACGUUGUGUUGCUGCUUUGCAGACGGACCACGCUGGCUGGAUCGUGUAUCUGGGGAAAAGAGGAAGAGGGACAGUCAGUUGACGAAGGAAUAUUGAGGGAUUUCAUCAGAGAAAGAGUGGACACAGAGCUAUCAAGAGUGUAGCUAAUAACAGUUGUUGACAACUAAGCGUGAGUAACAGCUGUGGUAAUUAUCUGUGCAAUACUUGUACGAAGAGUUGUUUGGUGUGUUCCUUUGUGUUUUUGAGGUCCCUGGCCCCACUGGAGAGGAGAGCGUGGGCGAGCCGCGGGUUGACCGGAAGCACGGACGAAGCAUCUGGUAGGAAGCACCAUUCACCAGCAGAAUAGUGGCCCUGUGGGAAAACGGAAGCACAGGUGAGCCAGAGGAGUGAUAAUCAACACACCGGGCCUGUAAAUAACACACAUCUCACCCUCAUUGGCGGUCCAGCUAUUGCCCAACCUUCCUCUCGAGGUCGUCGUAGCCAGGUGGCAAGGGCGAUUUAAAAACCACGUGAAGUGUAUAAGAGUGCUGUGGGUGAGUUUCACGGAUUGAUGGUGUUUACGUUUUACUUGCUGUGUGUAUGCUGUGCUUGUAGCGUUCAAACUGCCUAGCCUCCGACGAGUCACGAGACGACGACAUCUGUUGUGGCCUGGGUCCUAAGGAGAGCGAGAAAAUUGAGCCCUGUGCCCGGGGUGUGUUAACGAGAGCUUCGUUUGUCCAUAGAGCAGACAGUGGUGAAACCCAGUGAGUAUUACCAAGAAUGUACCGUGCGGACUGUGGGUUGUAGCGGUGUGUGUACUGACCUCUCCAACAGAAGCUCGUGGUGAGCGGAGCCCCGACGAGAGUUUGCCCCAACUCGUGACCCCGGUCGUGGAAGAAGGAGGGGGGAGUUUGGGAAGCGUUCGGCUCCGUGUCAUCGGACCCACUAGUCCCUACGACGCCCGGACAGCCUGAGUGGAUGGGCGAAGGAAUACGGUGCACCAACACUGUAGCGAAAAUCCACUGUUUGCAAGUAAAGCUCUGUGUGCAUGAAGAUCCCCAGUGCUCAAUUACCUACCUGUACCAGUGAAGCUGUGUGUGCAUGAAGAUCCCCAGUGCUGUGAGUACCGUAACCUGUGAAGUAAACCUGUUCUGUGCUUAUAGCAAUUACCAACCUGUACAAGUGAAGCUUUGUGUGUGGACGACGAUCCCCAGUGCUGUGAGUAACAUAACCUGUGAAGUAAAGCUGUUCUGUGCUUAUAGCAAUUACCUACCGGUACAAGUGAAGCGGUGUGUGCAUGAAGAUCCCCAGUACUGUGAGUAACAUAACCUGUGAAGUAAAGCUGUUCUGUGCUUAUAGCAAGUACCUACCUGUGCAAGGAAGCUCUGGGUGAGUGAAGAUCCCCAGUGCUGUGAGUAACGUAACCUGUGGAGUGAACUUGACCUGUGUCUAUAGCCAUCUCUUACCGUUCCAACGAAGGUCCCGUGUUGAACGAACAGCGACCAAUAGCAAAGUACCUUACCCCUGUCUGACUUUUGUUUGAUUCUGCCUCCAGGAGAAGCGGAGCGCGCCACGGAUUAUUGGGCCGGAGCCCCAAAGGAGCCCCUGUCCCCAGUCUUUCCCCCAAGUGGCCCUGGAGGCGAAGAAGAGACACACUAGUUUUAAAUUACCCUUUCCCCUUCCCCAUUUCCUUUUAAAUAUUUAAUAAAGCUUGUUUUAAUUAUAGUA
Non-coding RNA from Misgurnus anguillicaudatus (oriental weatherfish), 2734 nucleotides. The record is from RefSeq and is a predicted model, not a curated record. Lineage: Eukaryota; Metazoa; Chordata; Actinopteri; Cypriniformes; Cobitidae.